Long non-coding RNA from Lolium perenne, 354 nucleotides. RefSeq lists it as uncharacterized. The record is from RefSeq and is a predicted model, not a curated record. NCBI's taxonomy places the organism in Eukaryota, Viridiplantae, Streptophyta, Magnoliopsida, Poales, Poaceae.
AACUUUGUUCUCGUAAAGUGCUUGAGGCAAGAGGACGGGAAUAAUUUAUGCGGGUUCUACGUUUGCGAGUUCAUCCGCCAGAAUACCCAUCAUGUGAGGGACAUUUUGGAACAACUUGAUAUCGAACGGUUGCGGGACGGUCUUCUAGCAACAGAGCGUGUACGAGCAAUUCAAGAAGAACUGGCGGGGUUCUUACUUGAGCAAGUCAUAGCUCCAGAUGGAGAACACUAUGUGGACAACCGCCAAUAUCAAAGUUGAUGUAGACAUAUAUAUAUAUGCAUGAACGUGUGUCACUUUGAUCGAUAUAUGUAAUACAAUGGUUUCCUAUAUAUAUAUUUGAAUUGUUUGCAUUAA